CGUCUAUAUACGUAUAGCAUAUCCAAUAAGCGGAGGAAAAGAAACUAACAAGGAUUCCCUUAGUAACGGCGAGUGAAGCGGGAAGAGCUCAAAUUUGAAAUCUUCAAGGUUCUACCUUGACGAAUUGUAGUUUAUAGAAGUGUUUUCUGUUAGUGGAGUGGCAAAAGUUCUUUGGAAUAGGACAUCAUAGAGGGUGAGAAUCCCGUAUUUGGUCAUUCCUCCUAGCGUUGUGAUACACUUUCAACGAGUCGGAUUGUUUGGGAAUGCAGUCCAAAAUGGGUGGUAAAUUUCAUCUAAAGCUAAAUAUUGGCGAGAGACCGAUAGCGAACAAGUACCGUGAGGGAAAGAUGAAAAGAACUUUGUAAAGAGAGUUAAACAGUACGUGAAAUUGUCAAAAGGGAAGCGUUUGACACCAGUGUUGUUUUUCCGAAAAUCAAUUACGAAUGUUUUGUUUUUGAGGAGUUAUGACUUCAUCGACUUGCUCCUUUCUUUACGAAACUUUCUUAAUGCACUUUUCGGUUAACAAGUCAACAUCAAUUUCUUUUGUUGUAAAAGGGUAUGAGGAAGGUGGCUUUCUUUUCGGAGAAAGUGUUUAUAGCCUUGUGCCUCUACAAUCGGAGAGAUUGAGGUCUGCAGCGUAGAUCCUUCGGGGUUAGAUACAGUUUGUGCUAAGUUAUAGCUUUUCAUAGACAACUUGUCGACUAUGUUUAGUCUUGUAGCUUACUCGCUUAUGCUAUUUUACCUACGCUUAGGAUGUUGACUGAUAUGUAGUCGUA
This 776-nucleotide ribosomal RNA is filed under the name uncultured Neocallimastigales. RNAcentral's name for it is "partial large subunit ribosomal RNA". It matches the Rfam family "Eukaryotic large subunit ribosomal RNA", at positions 26 to 644 of the family's 3401-position model. Lineage: Eukaryota; Fungi; Neocallimastigomycota; Neocallimastigomycetes; Neocallimastigales. The record is from RNAcentral.